CCUACGGGCGGCAGCAGUGAGGAAUAUUGGUCAAUGGACGAGAGUCUGAACCAGCCAAGUAGCGUGAAGGAUGACUGCCCUAUGGGUUGUAAACUUCUUUUAUAUGGGAAUAAAAUGUUCCCCGUGUGGGAUUUUGUAUGUACCAUAUGAAUAAGGGUCGGCUAACUCCGUGCCAGCAGCCGCGGUAAUACGGAGGAUCCGAGCGUUAUCCGGAUUUAUUGGGUUUAAAGGGAGCGUAGGUGGAUUGUUAAGUCAGUUGUGAAAGUUUGCGGCUCAACCGUAAAAUUGCAGUUGAAACUGGCAGUCUUGAGUACAGUAGAGGUGGGCGGAAUUCGUGGUGUAGCGGUGAAAUGCUUAGAUAUCACGAAGAACUCCGAUUGCGAAGGCAGUUCACUGGACUGCAACUGACACUGAGGCUCGAAAGUGUGGGUAUCAAACAGGAUUAGAUACCCUGGUAGUC
RNAcentral lists this ribosomal RNA (460 nucleotides) under uncultured bacterium. RNAcentral's name for it is "partial 16S ribosomal RNA". It matches the Rfam family "Bacterial small subunit ribosomal RNA", at positions 338 to 795 of the family's 1533-position model. The record is from RNAcentral.